This is a long non-coding RNA of Brassica rapa (field mustard), 8094 nucleotides long. RefSeq lists it as uncharacterized. The record is from RefSeq and is a predicted model, not a curated record. NCBI's taxonomy places the organism in Eukaryota, Viridiplantae, Streptophyta, Magnoliopsida, Brassicales, Brassicaceae.
UGAUUAUUUGUAUAUAUUUUCAAGCAUUUAAGCGAACUUAAAAGUAUCAUAUAUAUUCUGGAUGUUUUUAUAUAUAUUAAAUCUAAAAUAAUUAAUAUAUACAAGUAUAUAAAUGUAUUUUGGAUACCCAAAAUACUUCGGUUCGAAUCGGAUUAGGUUUCAGUUCUUCAAAUACCAAAAUUUUGAAUAAUUUGGAUAUUUAAUCAAUUUCGGUUCAGAUUUAGUACUAUAUAUUCAGAUUGGGAUCGGUUCGAUUAUUCGAAUUCGAAUUGUUUGCUCAAUCCUAAAUAGUGACAUAAAAAUCAAAUAGCAUCAUAUUUUUUUAAAAAAUACAUCCGCACGGGCGUACGGGUCAAAAUCUAGUUGGUUCUUAAAUUUCAUCAUCUUGUGGUAUCCUAUUUUGAACAUAUGAAUAUUUCUUUCACGAUGUUGCAAAAUUUGCUACACAAAAUAAAUAUCACAUUAAGUUUUUAUUUCCCCAAAAAUUGAGAAAAGAAGGAAGAGGAAACUUACAGCCAGGGAUCGUCUCCAACAAGCAUCAUUAUCUUUGAAAGUUAGUUUCCAUUAACUUUUCAUAUGCAGCUGUCUGUGAUAUUAAAGAGUUUUUCUAGUUCAACAAUCAUGUGAUUGUAUCCAUCAAAAACAGUUAAAUCCACAGAUCUAACAACACCUUCUAUGUGAACCUAAUCAAUAAACAUAUAAUGUGUUUGUGAACUAAAUAUAGCCGUCUCAAUCUGUUAAAGUUAUACAUGUUUCUUAUCAAUAUUAUAUCUAUUGUAUUAGAAUAAAACCGUGAGUGCAACCAUAUAUAAAAUCAAAUAUUUUCUUAAACCGAACAUGGUUAGUUUUACGAAAUCCUAUGUCUUAUAAUGUUCUAAUAAUAAUAAAUAAUUUGAGAAUUGGGUAAGAAGUAAAGAAUAAGUAGAUGAAUGAUCUUUUCAUACCUUAAUACUACUUGUAUUAGAACUGAUUUCAUUCCUUUGGAAUUCUGUUGCUGAUGUCACUGCUUGAAUUUGAUCAAGAUUUUCUUCUUCAAGGAUUUCAGAAAUUUUAGUCUUUUGGUAUGAGUCGAGUGCUUGCAAAACAUCUCUUGCUUUGGUGGAAGUCGUUAGAUCAACUCCAAACAAUCUGAAUCUAUCAUAUGCAUUGGUGGUUAAAUUUUCUUUUGGUGACUGGACAAUUUGUUUAUUGCAGUUUGGUCUGGACAUAACAGAACCUGCAUAGCUCACUUGCAAGCCAGAUGAAAAUUUUGAAUCAUUAGUUUCAUUAUGAUAACUAACUUGAGGAAGACUCUUCGAAGAUUUUAUGCUUGAUUCUCCAAUUUCUUGGCUUUGAGUCAACCUAUGAAUCAUCAUAUUUGAACUUAUAUAUAGAAAUAUGAUGACAAUUAAACCAAAAAGAAACAUAACUUAUUAAAAAUAUUCUCUUACCAAAUUCAUUUAUUUCACAUUGGCGUUUGCAUAUUUAAAAAACGGACUUUUGAGAAUGAUUGAUGAAGGUAUUAAAUGCUUGAUUUCCCAUGGAAAAACCUUAUUAGGUCUAAGGAUCGUUGCAGUUUCAUCCCACUGUACCUAUAAAAAUAAAAUCAUGGAUUUUACUUAUUGUUCUUUUGAAAUCAUAUUCUAGAAUAAUAUUAAAAAAUUAGUUAGAAGUAACUUUUACUAGUAGGCUUUGCCAUUCUGAAUCCUUCCAAUGAAUAGAAAAUCUUCCACUUUUACUAUUGUCCCAGAAUAUCUUUGCGGUAAAAAAUUUUUUUGUAAGUAAACAUAUUUAGAAUUAUGUAAACAUUAUAUGAGUGUCAAAAAUUUACGUUAUUUCAUUAAAAUCAUAUCCUUCAAACUUCAUAAUAAAUCUUGAUCCUAUAUUGAACUUCGUAUUCACUGCAUCUAUGAAUUUGUCGCAGUUGACAAUAAAUUGGCUCGACCUAGUAUCAUCAUAUCAAGAAUAAAUUAAAUAUGCUUAAAUAAAGUAUUCUCAUGAUGUUUAAGUAGAGUAACAAAGUAUUUUUUCCUUACUUUGGCUUAUAAAACACAUCGAAGAUACAUUUGGUUUUAAUAUCAUUCAACGCAGUAGCAAUUAAGCCAUGGUGCAUACUUUCUUUUGAAAUUGUUAAUGAUGAUAUUUUGCUUUGUUGAGGAGCUGCCUUUCUCAUUCCAACUCGUGAUUCCUCAUUCUUUCCUCUAGAAUUAAAAAAUACUUAAAAUACAAAAAGAUUAAGAAACAAAGGAGAUGUAAAAUGAAAAAAAAAUGUAUAUACCUAAGGAAUAUAAAAUAGUCUCCAACGGUCAAACUUUUUUCUUUUGCAAACUCAUUCUAACCAGAUGUGAAAAGAUGUCUUUGUAGUGAUCUUGUUGAUAAUUUAUAGAUAAAUAAAGAUUAGUAGUCACUACCUAACAAUUUUGAUAUAAGAACUUAGCUGCCUUUAAAGGUUUGUGUUUAAGUUUCCAGACAUGAUCAUGGAGAUCUUUAGCAAUUAUCUCUUGACUCGGUUGUAGCUGUGACAUAUCCUACAAAAAGUUUAAUACAAAGCAUCAUAUACAAUCUUACAAUUUAAGUCAAUGAUGAAUUUGUUUGGUGUAAAUAUUAAAAGAAAAUAUCAGUAUAUUAAAUGAAACACCAUGUGUGCUUGUAUCCGAAGCAGAUAACACCUUGGUAAAAUAGUUAAUGUUUUGUUCGUUGUUGUCAUUAGGAAUAGGGAUUUCAAAUUCCUAAAUAAAUAAAUUGAUAAAAUUAUUUAAAUAUAUUAGAAGAGGUAUUAUUAUAUAUAAUUUCUCACUUAUAGAUGAAUAUGGUAACAACUAAACUUUUGCAUAAACUUCUUCUGAAUUGGUCUCCACCUGAAAUUAUGUAUAGAACACUUUUUUUUGUCAACCAUGCAUAAAACAUAUUAAAACCAUAUUAUGUACAGUUUUUAACCAAUUGAUCUCAUGAAUAUUUCCUAUAAAAAGAAACAUAAAAUACCAAAAUACAUACAUUAAGCUUAAUACUAACAACAUUACAGUGAAUUUUUGAAGAAAUAUCAAAAAUUGGUUUUAAUUGGCACAAGUCAUCAUUCGCUGAUGCUACAAGCUGAUAAUGUCAUAAAACUGUAAAAAAAGUUUGUAUAAUAACAAAAUAUGAUAAAUAAUGUGAAUGUAUUCAUAGAAAACAUUUUUCUGCUCUAUGUGCCCUUGAGGAAAAUAAUAAAGUUCUUCUCCAAUUUUUUUUUUUGACAAAGGGCAUUCAAACAACGAUCAAGCACAUAACUUCCAUAAUUGAUCGUACAAAUAUCUAUUGGUUCCAUCAGUUCCUAUAUGAAUACAUAAAAUAUGGUUAUGAGUAAAAUAUUUCUGAUAAAUCAAAAGCUAAAUUUGAGUUCAGAUUUUUUUUCCAGUUAUACCUAGAAAUUUAGGUUGCGCAUUCAUAAUUUGGUUAUUCUCCAUCAGCUUUUACCAAAUACCGGUCUUGAAUUGCAACUUACACACAAAUAUCACCAAAUUCAGAAUGGUUGUUAACAUGGUAUUGUAUCUCAAAAUUGUAUGUUUUAAUUAUGAUUAAAAAUACACAUAUGAGCGUUGUAAGUUUUGCAUUAAAUUAAAGUUUUAUUUGAAUUUGCAUAUAAUAUUUUUGUGUUCAGGUAUUGUUAUACGGAUUUGUCAUUAUAUUAAAAUAUAUUAAAUUCAAAAGAGUAUAUAUAUAUAUAUAUAUCAUGAUACACAGGUUUGUGUAUUUAUUUUUCAAGUACAAUUACAUGAUAGAUGAAGAAUUUAAAAUCAAAUUUUACAAAUUCUAUUACAAUAUAAAAUCAGGAUUAUUCAUAAAAUAGAACCAAACACCUAGUAAUCACAAUACUAAAGCAGCAUUUCCUCAAAAUCUAUGCUGCAACGUCAUAAAAAUAAUUGGCCAAUCACAACAUUUCGUUCUCGGUUUGGGCUUCGUUCCGUUUUCGCCUAUGGGCUUAGAAUUGGUUUUGAGUUCGGUUGAGGCUUUGUGGUCUACCUAAAUCUAGAUCUACGGAGGCAAGUCGCGAGUCUCUCCUUCUCUUCCCCAUUUCUCUUCGUCUUCUCUUCUGAAGCCAUAGCGUCUGUGUUUUGAUCAUAUCAUGGGCUUCGUUAGCGUGGUUUGGACCGAGAAUUAGGACAGUGUAUCCGGUCCGAUAAAGUGUAUUUUGCCUCUAACCCUAAUACGGCUGAAGCGAAGACACGAAGUUCAUUUCUCUUCUUCGUGCGACGGCAACGAUGAGACGUUUGCGCUUCCUCUCCAUAUCUAAAACCUUCCAGAGCUAUGGCUUCAUGUUUUAUCCCUCCUCCAUGAUUACAGAAGGAAUCUUCCCCUAUAAAUAACAACUUCGAUUGAACUCAUCACUACGAUAAAAAAAUGUUUGGUUUCAUCCAAGGAUAUUAGCGUGUCUUUGAUAUUGGUAAGUGAUUGUUCUUUUUGCUUUUUCUUUUGUUAAUUUAUACUUCCCAGUGAUUUAUUAAUUCUUUUUGUCGGUGUAAUUCCCUAGCUUGCAUUGAUCACAGAGAUAAACCAAAACAUUCUCCAAGGAUACACUCGAGAAAGAUGAAGAGCCAUAUGCGUAGGUAGACAUUCCAAAGUGUCUGUAUGAUGCAAGGAUCUUAGAGUAUGUUCAUGAGGCCUGCUUGAUUAGUUACUAACACAUUCCAAACACUCCAAUACUUUCUUCACAGUGGGCUGCUGCAUUUUGUCUCUGUCGAAAACCAGAAGAAGAACGUUUGGCAAUGGACGUAUGUUUAUGCAUCAAAAAACUAAAGGUCUUUCACGGCUCACUGGACCCCGUGCUGGGUAUCGAGGAAGUGUUCGAGCACAUGGUGACAUAUGUGGUUCUCAAUGGGGAUGGGUGAGCCGAUGUUGAACCUAGAGUCAGUACUACUUGAUGCUCAUCGUUGUUUGAAUGAGUUUACAUGGUCCAUCCAAACCGGGAGAAAAUGUACCAAGUGCCAAGUCUUAUCCGCUGGAAGCAAUUGUGAAGGAUUGUUGUGAAGUAACAAACAGACGAAUCUCCUUCGAGUAUGCUAUUCUAGGUUUGAUACUUUACAACCCGAUACAUGGUUGUGCCAACAUUAAGUGCUGCCCGAAGCUAGAAAAAAAAGCAAUUUAAAAACUGUCAACUGUACAUAGAGCUUUUGUAGUUUAGUCCUCAGUUGAGGCUCCACAAACUCUUUGUCUUGAAAUACAAACCAGCAUUAUAAAAAAAAGACAAUUGUUUUCAUUUUUUUUUUUUUGAAGUUUCUUUAAAUAUACAUGUUUUCAUUGGUCUCAUAUGUUACUUAACUCAUGGAGAUGUUAAUGAUUUUAUAUAUAAAAAAUGCCCGAGGCCAGUGCUUCAUUUUUUUCUCACGUAAGCACGGUACUGCAGCGAUACAACUCGAUAUGAGGAUCAUGUAAAAUAUUAAAUAUAUAUUUUAAAAAUCAUCAUCCCAAAUUAAAAAAAUUAUUGGAGUUCAAGAACAAGCAAGAAAAAAUAAUUUCUAUCUAUCUUCAUUAUAUUUAUUGUUAGUUGAGAAUAUUUUGGUUUCAUACAAUUUAACUGUAUUUCUCAAAUAUAAAACAAAUAACUACAUUGAGCCAAAAAAAAAUUAAAACAAUAUUAUUCACUUGGAAAAUACUACAAAAUAUUAAAUUAAAACUGGAAAAUUAAAUAAUUGAAAAUUAAAAAUAUUUAAAACAUUUUACAUAAUCCUAAACAAAUAUAUCUGAGCUUCAAAAGCAUAGAUUACUUACGCGUCGACAAUAUCGUCUUUGACAGUAAACAAAUUUAAAUAAUUUAAAUAGAAUCUGUUAAGCCAUAUAUUUUAGUGUUAAUAUAUACUCCUUCCGUUUUAUAUAAAAUAUUAUUUUAUGUUUAAAGUUUGUUUCAUUAUAAGUGUUUUUUUUUCAAUGCAUAUAUUAAUCAAAAUUUUCAGCUUUUACCAUUAUUUUUAACUCAUUAAUUAAUAAAGCAAUGUGUUAAAUAGGGGCACAACAUAAAAUUUAAUAGAUAAACUGAAAAGAAGUGUGAAGCCAUUUUUAAUUCGUUUUAGCUUCCUCUCUGAUUAAUUGAUGUCAUAUUGGAUUUUGUUUGGUAUGGUAUUGAAAUUGGUUUCAAACCAGAAUUUAACUUUAAAAUAAAAUUACAAUUCAAAUUCUCUAUGUAUAUAAGCAAAGGAGCUACUUUGUAUUUGUGUAUUAAGUUUGUUAAAUAUAUGCAUAUGAAUUAAAAUAAAGAAUAUUUUUUAUUAAAUCCGGUUUACUAUGGUUAUACUAGACUAGCAAUAGUAAAAAUAUAUAUUCUGUUAAUUAAAUUUGGUUUAGUAUGGUUACACUACACUAGCAAAUGCCUUAACAGAAGCUAAGUCUACAAUAACAUCAGCAUACACAGUACACACACAAAUGAUCAAGUAAUACAUGUAAUAUGGUCCAGAUGGUUAAUGCUCUCUAAGUUUUUUUAUGUAGAAAAUAUUAUAACAUUUAAACUGCUGAUUUUCGAAAAAAAAAUAUUAAGUAAGGUUGUAGAUUUAAAGGGGGAGGGCCCAUUAAAUUACUUGGUAAUUGGAAACAAAAGUUAUAAAAGUUGCAAGUGAAAUGAACCAUAUCUAUAGUCCAACCAAUUAAACACCAUAAGUAAAAUUUAAUUAAUUUUUUUUUUUCAUUUUGCUUAUCACCUUAUAUAUUUUUCAAUAACAAAAAUAAAAAAAUUUGGAUACUGAAAUUCAAAAUUGGUAAGAAAAAAAACAAUGAAAAUUUAAAAAAUUAUAAUAAUAUAUCUACUUAUUUUUAAUAGAUUAUACUAUUUAAAUAUUAAAUAAAUAUACAAAAUAUAUAAUCAAAAUUAAAUUUUAAACAAAAAAUCCGGGCGUAGCCGGGCCGACCCUAGUCUAUAUAAUAAUAGAUGAGUUGCUGCUCUCUUCUAAAGCUGUAUACGUCGACACAAUUGAGUUAAGUGGGACCCACAACUAUUCAAUUCUUCUUUACAAUUAAAUAAAAAUGUAUAAUUAAUUUAUCAUAAUCUCUAAUUUUCUAUUUCUUAUAUUUCCUAUGUAUAUCUGAAACGUUGUAUUAUCUGUAACCGUUCACAUUCAAAUCUAUGGCUUCGAAUGUUACGAACUGCCACGCCAUGCACCGCAGUUAACAGUAACAAAAAUCUCUAAAUAUACCAUAUAUUUUAUACGUUUUUAUAACUGUUAAAAUCGCACCGCAGUUAAACCGCCUGUCCCGCACUGCUCAAACCGCAGUUACCAUUCAGAGCCUAUAAAUAUUUCUCUUCUCUCUGUUCUUUCACAUCUAUUUUCACGGAGAAAGAGAAAAGACUAAACCUUUUGUGAAAUAUUUUAAUUUUUCAGAUCAGAUCUUUUUGUUUUCUGUUUUAGUUCUGGUCAAGCGAUCUAUGCUUGGUCGGAUCUUAUCUUUCGCUUAGCGAGUUUGUACUUUUUUUGUUGUGUGUUUCGAUUCAAACAGAACCGUUCUUCAAUGGUUUUUAUUUUUCUUCUGUUUGAGUCGAGAAAUAAAUUUCCAAUCUAUCAGAUUGGAUUCUCGGGUAGCUCUCUAAGCAUCACUUAACUCCAUCUGAUCUCUACUCAACUAGGUCGACCGAGUUUGAAGAGGGCAAUAUCGCGUCUGCUUGCCAUCAAUCCUGAGUGGGGCGGCGAAGUUCUUCCGAUUAACUUCACCGGAGACGUGAACGCUCUCAUCACAGCCAGCUGUUGAAGGUUGAUGAUGAGUGAGGAAGGCGAUCAAAGAGAAGCUGCAUCCCUUUACAGGUGAAGAUUGGUGGUCCGGCAACAAAGCCAUGGUAAAUCGAGGAUCUACUGGCGAAGUCGUUAGCUUUUUCACACCAGGCAGCGGCGCACGGUCAAGAGGAUAACUGCAUGAACGAUGCGUGGCUGUUUCCCUAUCACUUGAGGCGGUGGAGGCUUGGAGCGGUAUAUUGGGCAUCCUCCAUCUUUGGGCUUAGUAACUUUAAUUUCAUAGUUUGAAAGUGUGAGAUUUGGGCCAUUAUCAUUGCUUGUAUAGUCAAUAGAUUGGAUCUCGGAAUCACCAACGAAACAUAUCCCUUAUUUUACGCAAUCAUUCAACUAAAAUUGAAUAAUAUACGUGGCUAAAUAUUAUUUUCUA